This 987-nucleotide ribosomal RNA is filed under the name Bacillus sp. HPC957. Its description in RNAcentral is "bacterial SSU rRNA". It matches the Rfam family "Bacterial small subunit ribosomal RNA", at positions 28 to 1035 of the family's 1533-position model. The record is from RNAcentral. Lineage: Bacteria; Bacillati; Bacillota; Bacilli; Caryophanales; Bacillaceae.
GAAGAACGCUGGGGGCGAGCCUAAUACAUGCAAUGUCGAGCGGAUCUCUUCGGAGAUCAGCGGCGGACGGGUGAGUAACACGUGGGCAACCUGCCUAUAAGACUGGGAUAACUCCGGGAAACCGGGGCUAAUACCGGAUAAUCCUCUGGACCUCAUGGUCCGGAGCUGAAAGACGGUUCUGCUGUCACUUAUAGAUGGGCCCGCGGCGCAUUAGCUAGUUGGUGAGGUAACGGCUCACCAAGGCGACGAUGCGUAGCCGACCUGAGAGGGUGAUCGGCCACACUGGGACUGAGACACGGCCCAGACUCCUACGGGAGGCAGCAGUAGGGAAUCUUCCGCAAUGGACGAAAGUCUGACGGAGCAACGCCGCGUGAGUGAAGAAGGUUUUCGGAUCGUAAAACUCUGUUGUCAGGGAAGAACAAGUGCGAGAGUAACUGCUCGCACCUUGACGGUACCUGGCCAGAAAGCCACGGCUAACUACGUGCCAGCAGCCGCGGUAAUACGUAGGUGGCAAGCGUUGUCCGGAAUUAUUGGGCGUAAAGCGCGCGCAGGCGGUCUUUUAAGUCUGAUGUGAAAGCCCCCGGCUCAACCGGGGAGGGUCAUUGGAAACUGGAGGACUUGAGUGCAGAAGAGGAGAGCGGAAUUUCCCGUGUAGCGGUGAAAUGCGUAGAGAUGUGAGGAACACCAGUGGCGAAGCGGCUCUCUGGUUCUGUAACUGACGCUGAGCGCGAAGCGUGGGGAGCGAACAGGAUUAAAUACCCUGGUAGUCCACGCCGUAACGAUGAGUGCUAAGUGUUAGAGGUUCCGCCUUAAUGCUGGCAGCUAACGCAUAAGCAUCCGCUGGGGAGUACGUCGCAAGACUGAACUCAAAGAAUUGACGGGGCCGCACAAGCGGUGGACAUGUGUUUAUCCAAACACCGAAAACUUACAGGUCUUGACAUCUCUGACACCCUUAGAUAGGGCGUCCCCUUCCGGGGACAGAAUGAC